AGCAGUCGCCACGGUAAUACGUAGGUGGCGAGCGUUGUCCGGAAUCAUUGGGCGUAAAGGGAGCGCAGGCGGGCAUGUAAGUCUUUCUUAAAAGUUCGGGGCUCAACCCCGUGAUGGGAAAGAAACUACAUGUCUUGAGUACAGGAGAGGAAAGCGGAAUUCCCAGUGUAGCUGUGAAAUGCGUAGAUAUUGGGAGGAGCACCAGUGGCGAAGGCGGCUUUCUGGACUGCAACUGACGCUGAGGCUCGAAAGCCAGGGGAGCGAACGGGAUUAGAUACCCCUGUAGUCCCUGUCUCUUAUACA
RNAcentral lists this ribosomal RNA (303 nucleotides) under uncultured bacterium. Its description in RNAcentral is "partial 16S ribosomal RNA". It matches the Rfam family "Bacterial small subunit ribosomal RNA", at positions 507 to 809 of the family's 1533-position model. The record is from RNAcentral.